AGCCUCUUCCAUAUGAGAAUGGGCACACUUGACCAGGCUGUCAGAAAUUGUUAAUGUGGCUAAAUUGAGACAUAGGUUAUUCUUCCAUCACAGUAAAUUUAUUGUAGUGGUGACAGUGAGACCUGUAAUACAU
Molecule: small nucleolar RNA, 133 nt
Filed under: Dasypus novemcinctus (nine-banded armadillo)
Lineage: Eukaryota; Metazoa; Chordata; Mammalia; Cingulata; Dasypodidae
Description: Small nucleolar RNA SNORA1 (ENSDNOG00000027516.1)
Rfam family: Small nucleolar RNA SNORA1
About the family: ACA1 is a member of the H/ACA class of snoRNA that guide the sites of modification of uridines to pseudouridines.
Source: RNAcentral